RNAcentral lists this ribosomal RNA (776 nucleotides) under uncultured Neocallimastigales. Its description in RNAcentral is "partial large subunit ribosomal RNA". It matches the Rfam family "Eukaryotic large subunit ribosomal RNA", at positions 22 to 634 of the family's 3401-position model. Lineage: Eukaryota; Fungi; Neocallimastigomycota; Neocallimastigomycetes; Neocallimastigales. The record is from RNAcentral.
CCUAUACAUGACUCUGCGCAUAUCAAUAAGCGGAGGAAAAGAAACUAACAAGGAUUCCCUUAGUAACGGCGAGUGAAGCGGGAAGAGCUCAAAUUCGAAAUCUUCAAGGUUUUACCUUGACGAAUUGUAGUUUAAAGAAGUGUUUUCUGCUGAAGUUUUGGUAAAAGUUCUUUGGAAUAGGGACAUCAUAGAGGGUGAGAAUCCCGUAUUUGACCAUUAUUUUCAGCUUUGUGAUACACUUUCAAAGAGUCGGAUUGUUUGGGAAUGCAGUCCAAAAUGGGUGGUAAAUUUCAUCUAAAGCUAAAUAUUGGCGAGAGACCGAUAGCGAACAAGUACCGUGAGGGAAAGAUGAAAAGAACUUUGAAAAGAGAGUUAAACAGUACGUGAAAUUGUCAAAAGGGAAGCGUUUGACACCAGUGUUGUUUUCUCGAAAAUCAAUUAAAAAUGGCUCGAUUUUGUAUUGUUGAGACCUUAAAAGCUCACUGUACAUUUUUCGUGUCUUUUUUAAUGCACUUUUCGUUUAACAAGUCAACAUCAGUUUCUUUUGUUGUAAAAGGGUCAUUGGAAGGUGGCUUUCUUUUCGGAGAAAGUGUUUAUAGCCUUUGGCCUCUGCAAUCGGAGAGACUGAGGUCUGCAGCGUAGACUCUUCGGGGUUAGAUACAUUUGUGCUAAGUUAUAGCUUUUUAUAGACAACUUGUUGACUAUAAUUAGUCUUGUAGCUUACUCGCUUAUGCUAUUUUACCUACGCUUAGGAUGUUGAAGAUGUAGCACAUCAU